Molecule: long non-coding RNA, 1620 nt
Filed under: Gallus gallus (chicken)
Lineage: Eukaryota; Metazoa; Chordata; Aves; Galliformes; Phasianidae
Source: RNAcentral
CUCUUCUCCCUCCUGCCUCUCCCAGGCGUGGAGAAAACACAGAGUUAAAGAAACCUGCUCUGAGACGCCUUGGAGCUGCGCUUUCGAGUUCUUCCUUUAAAAUAUGGUGGGGCGAUUUCGUCCCUGCUGUCUUUUUUGGAAAGGUUUGCUCCGUUUGGUAUAACUCGAGAGCAGUGGAAAAGCAGUUAACCUACUUACUGGGAUGUUCGCGGCAGCGCGCACAGCAGGACGGGAUCUGCUGCCGCGGGGCCCUCUGAUCCCAAACUUGUGAUGCACUCUGUUGGUAGGUACCUGCAAUCUCCUCUCUUCGUCCAAAGCCUGGAUUGAUCCCUCAGUGCAAACCUGGCCUCCGACAAGGCUUUAUAACUAGAUCCUCUUUUGCCACACCACCCAAGAGGCGCAGUGCAGGGUGUCCCGUACCUGAUGCUGUCAUUUAACAACAAAGGGAGGCAGCUGCGCCCAGCGCGGGGCUCGGAUGCCUUGGCUGCCAUCCUGGGACGAUCACAUGCAAGACAGAGCAAGCCUCAAAGCUACAACUCGCUCAACUAAAAAUAAAUAAGAGAAAACGCAAUUAGAAACUCUAGGAUAAAGUUACCAAGAUGGCUGCAUUAUCUGUGUGAGCCAGAGGGAUGUGCUUUGCCGACCCAGCCGCUCUGGAGAGAUGGAAACUUGCCCGACCCAGACACUCCAAGGGAAACAACGGCAGCGGAAAGAUGUUGGCUCCUCUCAGAGGCUGCACCCAGGGCAGCGGGGCGGCUGCGCGGGCACCCCUGGGGACCACAUAGGGUGACCUCAGCAGGGAUCCAGAACGCCGUGAAGCUGGGGGGCAACCGAGUCCCCCCCAUUCAACAUAUCCAUUCCCCCCGACUAAAGGAAGCCCUAUAAGCAACCAGAUGGGAUGCUGAGAGCAAAAGGAGCAAAGAGGGAGGGGUUGUGAUGUACGGGGCUGGUGGGCACCGCCAAGCGAAAUCACGUCCGCGGAGCACUUACUUUCGGGGUAAAAAGGCUGCAUGUCUAUUUUGUAAACUUCUUUGGCGUAGUACUCCUCGUCGCUCCGCUCCCUCUCGCAAGUGGCAGCUCUGUGGUUGGCUUUCUCCUGCAGCAGGUCCCUGGUGCUGUUGUAGAUGGAGAUGACCUCCGGGGGCACCUCCUCGGGCUCGGGGUACUCGUCCGGGGGGCUGGUGAGCUUCAGCUUGCUCAGGAUCUGCCCCCGGAUCGCCUCGAUCCUCUUGCGCAUGAACUGAUCCAUGUCGAGGGUGCUGCAGGUAGACAGGCUGAGAGCCACGGCGGCCAGAUCCAGGGUGAGGAACACGCUCAGGAGAUAGCAGUGCAUCUUAAGUGCUUAAAUACAGCGCCCCCCGAAAAAAGAGUGACUUUAACCACGAACGACAACGGUGGGGGUGGGGGGGUGGGGGGUUAAUAUUAAAAAAUAACAGGGGGAUGUGUGCAAACAAAGGGAGGAUCUGCAGACAAAAUGCAGUGAACAACCGGACUGCAAGGACGGCUUGCAAUCCACAAACGCACGGGAGUCGCCAGUGGAAAAAAUACCAAUAGUGAUACAAAAAAAUAAAAAAGCAGCCUAGUGAGAGUCGGGGGUGGAGAGAGCGGCAGUUAAAAAAA